This 565-nucleotide ribosomal RNA is filed under the name Scinax fuscovarius (snouted treefrog). RNAcentral describes it as "partial 16S ribosomal RNA". It matches the Rfam family "Bacterial large subunit ribosomal RNA", at positions 1900 to 2620 of the family's 2925-position model. The record is from RNAcentral. Lineage: Eukaryota; Metazoa; Chordata; Amphibia; Anura; Hylidae.
UGGGCCCCCCAGUUGGACAAAUGUUCAACGGCCGCGGUAUCCUAACCGUGCGAAGGUAGCGUAAUCACUUGUUCUUUAAAUGAGGACUAGUAUGAAUGGCACCACGAGGGUUGCACUGUCUCCUUUCCCUAAUCAAUGAAACUAAUCUCCCCGUGAAGAAGCGGGGGUACUAAUAUAAGACGAGAAGACCCUAUGGAGCUUUAAAUUUCUCUUCAAACGCCAGACACAAACAUCUAACACUUUACAUUAACCCGACGCCUUGAAGAUGAAUUUUAGGUUGGGGUGACCAUGGAGAACAAAAUAACCUCCACGCUGAAAAGGCCUCCAAGCCUUGAGCCGAGGGCUACAACCCAACGCACUAAAAAAUUAACACCCAUUGACCCAAUAUUUUUGAUCAACGAACCAAGUUACCCUAGGGAUAACAGCGCAAUCUACUUCAAGAGUCCCUAUCGACAAGUGGGUUUACGACCUCGAUGUUGGAUCAGGGUAUCCCAGUGGUGCAGCCGCUACUAAAGGUUCGUUUGUUCAACGAUUAAAACCCUACGUGAUCUGAGUUCAGACCGGA